RNAcentral lists this ribosomal RNA (239 nucleotides) under uncultured bacterium. RNAcentral describes it as "partial 16S ribosomal RNA". It matches the Rfam family "Bacterial small subunit ribosomal RNA", at positions 10 to 232 of the family's 1533-position model. The record is from RNAcentral.
AGUUUGAUCCUGGCUCAGGAUGAACGCUAGCGACAGGCUUAACACAUGCAAGUCGAGGGGCAGCGGAGGCGAGUGCUUGCACUUGCCGGACGGCGACCGGCGCACGGGUGAGUAACACGUAUGCGACCUGCCCGUAGCAGGGGGAUAAGCGGAAGAAAUUCCGUCUAAUACCGCGUAAUAUCUUUCGGGGGCAUUCCUGAGGGAUUAAAGGAAGCGAUUCCGGCUACGGGAGGCAGCAG